Molecule: ribosomal RNA, 484 nt
Filed under: uncultured bacterium
Lineage: Bacteria
Description: partial 16S ribosomal RNA
Rfam family: Bacterial small subunit ribosomal RNA
Source: RNAcentral
AUUGAGCGCUGGCGGCAGGCCUAACACAUGCAAGUCGAGCGGAUGAAGGGAGCUUGCUCCUGGAUUCAGCGGCGGACGGGUGAGUAAUGCCUAGGAAUCUGCCUGGUAGUGGGGGAUAACGUCCGGAAACGGGCGCUAAUACCGCAUACGUCCUGAGGGAGAAAGUGGGGGAUCUUCGGACCUCACGCUAUCAGAUGAGCCUAGGUCGGAUUAGCUAGUUGGUGGGGUAAAGGCCUACCAAGGCGACGAUCCGUAACUGGUCUGAGAGGAUGAUCAGUCACACUGGAACUGAGACACGGUCCAGACUCCUACGGGAGGCAGCAGUGGGGAAUAUUGGACAAUGGGCGAAAGCCUGAUCCAGCCAUGCCGCGUGUGUGAAGAAGGUCUUCGGAUUGUAAAGCACUUUAAGUUGGGAGAAAGGGAAGUAAGUUAAUACCUUGCUGUUUUGACGUUACCAACAGAAUAAGCACCGGCUAACUUCGUG